Molecule: ribosomal RNA, 492 nt
Filed under: uncultured bacterium
Lineage: Bacteria
Description: partial 16S ribosomal RNA
Rfam family: Bacterial small subunit ribosomal RNA
Source: RNAcentral
AGUGAACGCUGGCGGUAGGCCUAACACAUGCAAGUCGAACGGCAGCACAGUAAGAGCUUGCUCUUACGGGUGGCGAGUGGCGGACGGGUGAGGAAUACAUCGGAAUCUACUUUUUCGUGGGGGAUCACGUAGGGAAACUUACGCUAAUACCGCAUACGACCUACGGGUGAAAGCAGGGGAUCUUCGGACCUUGCGCGAUUGAAUGAGCCGAUGUCGGAUUAGCUAGUUGGCGGGGUAAAGGCCCACCAAGGCGACGAUCCGUAGCUGGUCUGAGAGGAUGAUCAGCCGCACGAGAACGGGGACACGGUCCAGACUCCUACGGGAGGCAGCAGUGGGGAAUAUUGGACAAUGGGCGCAAGCCUGAUCCAGCCAUACCGCGUGGGUGAAGAAGGCCUUCGGGUUGUAAAGCCCUUUUGUUGGGAAAGAAAAGCAGCAGGUUAAUACCCCGCUGUUCUGACGGUACCCAAAGAAUAAGCACCGGCUAACUUCGUG